UUUAAUUCGGAUUACAGGAGUGACUAUGAAGAUUUUGUUCAGAGACCUUGCAAGGCAAACAGUUCAACAUUUUGCUUCUAGAGUCGACACUUAUAUGUCAUCGAUCGUACAGGCAUAUGAUGCUCAUUGGCCGGUUAUUCAAGCAAACGCGAUACACUUGUCCAGCUGCAUCCUUACUUUCUCGGAUGAUCACGUAUUUUCAAUUAUUUACUAUGCUCAGUUAUUGAGUCUUUUUUUAAAAGUGUUUUUUUUUGUCACAAUGAAAUGAAUUGAUAGUUGUAUGCAUUUGAUAUGAGAUUGAAUUAGAUAAAACUUUUAGG
This is a long non-coding RNA of Impatiens glandulifera, 320 nucleotides long. RefSeq lists it as uncharacterized. Lineage: Eukaryota; Viridiplantae; Streptophyta; Magnoliopsida; Ericales; Balsaminaceae. The record is from RefSeq and is a predicted model, not a curated record. The transcript has 3 exons.